Non-coding RNA from Cricetulus griseus (Chinese hamster), 281 nucleotides. NCBI's taxonomy places the organism in Eukaryota, Metazoa, Chordata, Mammalia, Rodentia, Cricetidae. The record is from RefSeq and is a predicted model, not a curated record.
AUAGGCAGAGAUCAAAGGAAUGGAGAUUACCCAGCGCCUGUGAAGUAAUUUACAUCUUGGUGUCUUUAGGCACCAUUAUUGUAAUGGAGAAUGCAGGAACCGGCUCCCUACAGAUAGCCAUCUUGGGACUCCUUUAAGUACUUUAAAUACUUUGCCCAGGCUAGCCCUGAACUUCCUGUAUCAACCUCUCCAGUGCUGAGACCUGUGCCACCACACCUGAAGGAACAAUGUUCUUGGCAAUGAGACUAUUGCAUAAAAUAAAAUUCUCAUGUGGUUUGUGG